UGGGGAAUUUUGGACAAUGGGCGAAAGCCUGAUCCAGCAAUGCCGCGUGUGUGAAGAAGGCCUUCGGGUUGUAAAGCACUUUUGUCCGGAAAGAAAUCCUUGGCUCUAAUACAGUCGGGGGAUGACGGUACCGGAAGAAUAAGCACCGGCUAACUACGUGCCAGCAGCCGCGGUAAUACGUAGGGUGCAAGCGCUAAUCGGAAUUACUGGGCGUAAAGCGUGCGCAGGCGGUUUGCUAAGACCGAUGUGAAAUCCCCGGGCUCAACCUGGGAACUGCAUUGGUGACUGGCAGGCUAGAGUAUGGCAGANGGGGUAGAAUUCCACGUGUAGCAGUGAAAUGCGUAGAGAUGUGGAGGAAUACCGAUGGCGAAGGCAGCCCCCUGGGCCAAUACUGACGCUCAUGCACGAAAGCGUGGGGAGCAAACAGGAUUAGAUACCCUGGUAGUCCACGCCCUAAACGAUGUCAACUAGUUGUUGGGGAUUCAUUUCCUUAGUAACGUAGCUAACGCGUGAAGUUGACCGCCUGGGGAGUACGGUCGCAAGAUUAAAACUCAAAGGAAUUGACGGGGUCAUAGCUGUUUCCU
This 584-nucleotide ribosomal RNA is filed under the name uncultured bacterium. Its description in RNAcentral is "partial 16S ribosomal RNA". It matches the Rfam family "Bacterial small subunit ribosomal RNA", at positions 355 to 1375 of the family's 1533-position model. The record is from RNAcentral.